Long non-coding RNA from Pyrus x bretschneideri (Chinese white pear), 389 nucleotides. RefSeq lists it as uncharacterized. Lineage: Eukaryota; Viridiplantae; Streptophyta; Magnoliopsida; Rosales; Rosaceae. The transcript is spliced from 2 exons. The record is from RefSeq and is a predicted model, not a curated record.
ACAUGCACAUAUCUUAUCUUCUCAAUCUCCAGUCUAUAUAAGGGCUGCUAGGUUACGACUAUGGAUACAUAUAAAUUAUAUAAAAUGGAGCGUUCCAUGCGUUUAUUUCCAACCGCCUUCGUCUUCCUGCUGCUUUUGGUGGCCACCGGGACGAUGGUUGCUGAGGGUAGGACCUGCGAGUCUCAGAGUAAUCGCUUCAAAGGAACCUGCGUGAGUAAAAGUAACUGUGCUGCUGUUUGCCAAACAGAGGGCUUCCCCGGAGGCAAUUGUCGUGGCUUACGCCGUAGAUGCUUUUGCACUAAACAUUGUUAAUUAGCUAAUUAAUUAAGCUAGUGAUGAGCUGAUCACUUAUCACUUAAUUAUCAGUGGAUGCAUGGACGUAGGUACUU